GACGAACGCUGGCGGCGUGCUUAACACAUGCAAGUCGAACGGUAAGGCCCUUCGGGGUACACGAGUGGCGAACGGGUGAGUAACACGUGGGUGAUCUGCCCUGCACUUCGGGAUAAGCCUGGGAAACUGGGUCUAAUACCGGAUAGGACCCUGGGAUGCAUGUCCUGGGGUGGAAAGCUUUUGUGGUGUGGGAUGGGCCCGCGGCCUAUCAGCUUGUUGGUGGGUGAUGGCCUACCACGGCGACGACGGGUAGCCGGCCUGAGAGGGUGACCGGCCACACUGGGACUGAGAUACGGCCCAGACUCCUACGGGAGGCAGCAGGGGGGAAUAUUGCACAAUGGGCGCGAGCCUGAGGCAGCGACGCCGCGUGGGGGAUGACGGCCUUCGGGUUGUAAACCUCUUUCAGCACCGACGAAGCGCAAGUGACGGUAGGUGCAGAAGAAGGACCGGCCAACUACGUGCCAGCAGCCGCAGUAA
RNAcentral lists this ribosomal RNA (477 nucleotides) under uncultured bacterium. RNAcentral describes it as "partial 16S ribosomal RNA". It matches the Rfam family "Bacterial small subunit ribosomal RNA", at positions 28 to 523 of the family's 1533-position model. The record is from RNAcentral.